GCAACGUCCAUGGCUAGCUGAUGGGGUAGGGGCUUUGUCCAAUUCGUCUGCAUGGUGGUGGGAGAAACGUGGUGGCAGCCAGGGAAGCAGGAUGGUCUCAGAGUCAUGCGCCGCCAGCAGGUCUGGCAAGGUAUCUAAGGCAUAGGCUAGCAGGGAAAUUUCAGUUCUCCACUUACCCUAGGACUUUGGUGGAAAACACAUUGCGGAUUUAUGGCGAUUCCAAAUUUGAAGACCAGUUUCUGCCAGGCUCAGCACAACUCCCCGGACAAGUGACCUUGAGGGCUGGCUCUAUGUGAAAUAUUCAACUGUGCUUUGAAGACUCUGGACACCGAGACUGUCCUCAAAAUUAACUGCAAGUAUACUUCCUUUAAUGACUCUGGUAAAAUCAAGCAUCAAGUAAACAAUGGAGGAAGACAAUCACCACCGUUGUCUCACUCAUGUCUAAAUGUAGGCCUGGCGGGUAAACUCGGUAUGUGCUGGAUGUUUUGAAAUCUGAAGGUACCAGUCUGAGGACGCUAAGGCCCAGGCUGAAUUCGAGCAAAUUCUAAAUAGUUUUCUGCCUAUCUUGGAGGAGCUUCUAACUGAGAAAAUAAGCCAAAUAAAGAAAAUUUAAAAAAAAAUAGACCUUUUGUUGAGCUUAAUGUUCUCACGUUUCCAUCAGGCAGGCACACACACCCUCUCUGGUUUACCAUAAUGAACCAUGUAGCCCCAGUGGAGAUCUGCUACGACAGCAUGCGUUUUCUGAUAACUUACAACCCCAC
This 761-nucleotide long non-coding RNA is filed under the name Rattus norvegicus (Norway rat). RNAcentral describes it as "long non-coding RNA NONRATT023034". The record is from RNAcentral. Lineage: Eukaryota; Metazoa; Chordata; Mammalia; Rodentia; Muridae.